This 962-nucleotide ribosomal RNA is filed under the name uncultured bacterium. Its description in RNAcentral is "bacterial SSU rRNA". It matches the Rfam family "Bacterial small subunit ribosomal RNA", at positions 377 to 1345 of the family's 1533-position model. The record is from RNAcentral.
GAGAGCCUGAUCCAGCCAUCCCGCGUGAAGGACGACGGCCCUAUGGGUUGUAAACUUCUUUUGUAUAGGGAUAAACCUACUCUCGCGAGAGUAGCUGAAGGUACUAUACGAAUAAGCACCGGCUAACUCCGUGCCAGCAGCCGCGGUAAUACGGAGGGUGCAAGCGUUAUCCGGAUUUAUUGGGUUUAAAGGGUCCGUAGGCGGACUCGUAAGUCAGUGGUGAAAUCUCAUAGCUUAACUAUGAAACUGCCAUUGAUACUGCGGGUCUUGAGUAAAGUAGAAGUGGCUGGAAUAAGUAGUGUAGCGGUGAAAUGCAUAGAUAUUACUUAGAACACCAAUUGCGAAGGCAGGUCACUAUGUUUUAACUGACGCUGAUGGACGAAAGCGUGGGGAGCGAACAGGAUUAGAUACCCUGGUAGUCCACGCCGUAAACGAUGCUAACUCGUUUUUGGGUUUUCGGAUUCAGAGACUAAGCGAAAGUGAUAAGUUAGCCACCUGGGGAGUACGUUCGCAAGAAUGAAACUCAAAGGAAUUGACGGGGGCCCGCACAAGCGGUGGAUUAUGUGGUUUAAUUCGAUGAUACGCGAGGAACCUUACCAAGGCUUAAAUGGGAAUUGAUCGGUUUAGAAAUAGACUUUCCUUCGGGCAAUUUUCAAGGUGCUGCAUGGUUGUCGUCAGCUCGUGCCGUGAGGUGUUAGGUUAAGUCCUGCAACGAGCGCAACCCCUGUCACUAGUUGCUAACAUUCAGUUGAGGACUCUAGUGAGACUGCCUACGCAAGUAGAGAGGAAGGUGGGGAUGACGUCAAAUCAUCACGGCCCUUACGCCUUGGGCCACACACGUAAUACAAUGGCCGGUACAGAGGGCAGCUACACAGCGAUGUGAUGCGAAUCUCGAAAGCCGGUCUCAGUUCGGAUUGGAGUCUGCAACUCGACUCUAUGAAGCUGGAAUCGCUAGUAAUCGC